UUAACUAUUUUAAUAGUACUCAGACGACACUAACAUUCAGAGUUUAGGGGUCCUCUGGCAGGCACGCUAGACGCGAAUCUAGGCGCACGAGGCGCGGCCCGCCAAAGCAACAUUCUAUAAUAAUACACAAGGGUGGGGAGAUCUACCCCGAAGGGCAUGAACUCUGUAAUGAUCCUUCCGCAGGUUCACCUACGGAAA
RNAcentral lists this unclassified non-coding RNA (198 nucleotides) under uncultured fungus. Its description in RNAcentral is "sequence contains ITS1". The record is from RNAcentral. Lineage: Eukaryota; Fungi.